RNAcentral lists this ribosomal RNA (501 nucleotides) under uncultured bacterium. RNAcentral's name for it is "partial 16S ribosomal RNA". It matches the Rfam family "Bacterial small subunit ribosomal RNA", at positions 30 to 523 of the family's 1533-position model. The record is from RNAcentral.
AUUGAACGCUGGCGGCAUGCCUUACACAUGCAAGUCGAACGGCAGCACGGGUGCUUGCACCUGGUGGCGAGUGGCGAACGGGUGAGUAAUACAUCGGAACGUACCUUAUCGUGGGGGAUAACGCAGCGAAAGCUGUGCUAAUACCGCAUACGCCCUGAGGGGGAAAGCGGGGGAUCGCAAGACCUCGCGCGAUUAGAGCGGCCGAUGCCUGAUUAGCUUGUUGGUGGGGUAAAAGCCCACCAAGGCGACGAUCAGUAGCUGGUCUGAGAGGACGAUAAACCACACUGGGACUGAGACACGGCCCAGAAUCCUCCGGGAGGCAGCAGUGGGGAAUUUUGGACAAUGGGGGCAACCCUGAUCCAGCAAUGCCGCGUGAGUGAAGAAGGCCUUCGGGUUGUAAAGCUCUUUUGUCAGGGAAGAAACACCGGCUCUAACACAGUCUGGGAAUGACGGUACCUGAAGAAUAAGCACCGGCUAACUACGUGCCAGCCGCCGCAGUAA